AUUGAACGCUGGCGGCAUGCUUUACACAUGCAAGUCGGACGGCAGCACAGAGAAGCUUGCUUCUUGGGUGGCGAGUGGCGCACGGGUGAGUAAUAUAUCGGAACGUACCGAGUAAUGGGGGAUAACUAAUCGAAAGAUUAGCUAAUACCGCAUAUUCUCUGAGGAGGAAAGCAGGGGACCUUCGGGCCUUGCGUUAUUCGAGCGGCCGAUAUCUGAUUAGCUAGUUGGUGGGGUAAAGGCCUACCAAGGCGACGAUCAGUAGCGGGUCUGAGAGGAUGAUCCGCCACACUGGGACUGAGACACGGCCCAGACUCCUACGGGAGGCAGCAGUGGGGAAUUUUGGACAAUGGGCGCAAGCCUGAUCCAGCCAUGCCGCGUGUCUGAAGAAGGCCUUCGGGUUGUAGAGGACUUUUGUCAGGGAAGAAAAGGCUGUUGCUAAUACCGACAGCUGAUGACGGUACCUGAAGAAUAAGCACCGGCUAACUACGUG
This 490-nucleotide ribosomal RNA is filed under the name uncultured bacterium. RNAcentral's name for it is "partial 16S ribosomal RNA". It matches the Rfam family "Bacterial small subunit ribosomal RNA", at positions 30 to 507 of the family's 1533-position model. The record is from RNAcentral.